Molecule: ribosomal RNA, 425 nt
Filed under: uncultured bacterium
Lineage: Bacteria
Description: bacterial SSU rRNA
Rfam family: Bacterial small subunit ribosomal RNA
Source: RNAcentral
GUGGGGAAUCUUAGACAAUGGGGGCAACCCUGAUCUAGCCAUGCCGCGUGAGUGAUGAAGGCCUUAGGGUUGUAAAGCUCUUUCAGCUGGGAAGAUAAUGACGGUACCAGCAGAAGAAGCCCCGGCUAACUCCGUGCCAGCAGCCGCGGUAAUACGGAGGGGGCUAGCGUUGUUCGGAAUUACUGGGCGUAAAGCGCACGUAGGCGGACUGGAAAGUUGGAGGUGAAAUCCCAGGGCUCAACCUUGGAACUGCCUUCAAAACUAUCAGUCUGGAGUUCGAGAGAGGUGAGUGGAAUUCCGAGUGUAGAGGUGAAAUUCGUAGAUAUUCGGAGGAACACCAGUGGCGAAGGCGGCUCACUGGCUCGAUACUGACGCUGAGGUGCGAAAGUGUGGGGAGCAAACAGGAUUAGAAACCCUAGUAGUCC